GAUGAACGCUGGCGGCGUGCCUAAUACAUGCAAGUCGAGCGAACGGACGAGAAGUUUGCUUCUCUGAUGUUAGCGGCGGACGGGUGAGUAACACGUGGAUAACCUACCUAUAAGACUGGGAUAACUUCGGGAAACCGGAGCUAAUACCGGAUAAUAUUUUGAACCGCAUGGUUCAAAAGUGAAUGACGGUCUUGCUGUCACUUAUAGAUGGAUCCGCGCUGCAUUAGCUAGUUGGUAAGGUAACGGCUUACCAAGGCAACGAUGCAUAGCCGACCGGAGAGGGUGGUCGGCCACACUGGAACUGGGACGCGGACCAGGCGCCUACGGGAGGCAGCAGUAGGGAAUCUUCCGCAAUGGGCGAAAGCCUGACGGAGCAACGCCGCGUGAGUGAUGAAGGUCUUCGGAUCGUAAAACUCUGUUAUUAGGGAAGAACAGAUGUGUAAGUAACUGUGCACAUCGUGACGGUACCUAAUCAGAAAGCCACGGCUAACUACGUG
Molecule: ribosomal RNA, 497 nt
Filed under: uncultured bacterium
Lineage: Bacteria
Description: partial 16S ribosomal RNA
Rfam family: Bacterial small subunit ribosomal RNA
Source: RNAcentral